AAGUCGUAACAAGGUUUCCGUAGGUGAACCUGCGGAAGGAUCAUUAACACGUUUCACAACGUAUCAACCAAACCGCGAACUAUGAACGUCUUUUUUAUUCAUGUUUUUGGAAGUGGGUGUUGGCCGGACGGACAUGGCUGUCAUGGCUAUGUUGAACAGUGGUGCGUGCACUACUGUGUACGACCAGCCACUCCCCCUUCUUUGAACAUGUCUUAUUCAACCCAAACCCAUUUGUUUAUUCAUUUAUUCUUUAAAGAUACGCCCUUGUGGUGAGUCUUUAAUACAAACUUGUACAACUCUUAGCAACGGAUAUCUUGGUUUCC
Molecule: unclassified non-coding RNA, 323 nt
Filed under: fungal sp.
Lineage: Eukaryota; Fungi
Description: partial internal transcribed spacer region
Rfam family: Eukaryotic small subunit ribosomal RNA (bases 1-46)
Source: RNAcentral